RNAcentral lists this ribosomal RNA (497 nucleotides) under uncultured bacterium. RNAcentral's name for it is "partial 16S ribosomal RNA". It matches the Rfam family "Bacterial small subunit ribosomal RNA", at positions 28 to 507 of the family's 1533-position model. The record is from RNAcentral.
GAUGAACGCUGGCGGCGUGCCUAAUACAUGCAAGUCGAGCGAACAGACGAGGAGCUUGCUCCUCUGACGUUAGCGGCGGACGGGUGAGUAACACGUGGAUAACCUACCUAUAAGACUGGGAUAACUUCGGGAAACCGGAGCUAAUACCGGAUAAUAUAUUGAACCGCAUGGUUCAAUAGUUAAAGUCGGUUUUGCUGUCACUUAUAGAUUGAUCCGCGCCGCAUUAGCUAGUUGGUAAGGUAACGGCUUACCAAGGCAACGAUGCGUAGCCGACCUGAGAGGGUGAUCGGACACACUGGAACUGAGACACAGUCCAGACUCCUACGGGAGGCAGCAGUAGGGAAUCUUACGCAAUGGGGGAAAGCCUGACGGAGCAACGCCGCGGGAGUGAUGAAGGUCUUCGGAUCGUAAAACUCUGUUAUUAGGGAAGAACAAAUGUGUAAUUAACUAUGCACGUAUUGACGGUACCUAAACAGAAAGCCACGGCUAACUACGUG